This 269-nucleotide long non-coding RNA is filed under the name Salvia miltiorrhiza (redroot sage). RNAcentral's name for it is "long non-coding RNA (SMIL_LNC003293)". The record is from RNAcentral. Lineage: Eukaryota; Viridiplantae; Streptophyta; Magnoliopsida; Lamiales; Lamiaceae.
GCGGCCCUCAAGAUGGUACACCCCUGUCUAACUUUCGCGACUUACGAUAUUCCUGCGCGGAGCAUAGACAAUCAAGAUGGUACACCCCUGUCUAACUUUCGCGGCUUACGAUAUUCCUGCGCGGAGCAUAGACAAUCAAGAUGGUACACCCCUGUCUAACUUUCGCGGCUUACGAUAUUCCUGCGCGGAGCAUAGACAAUCAAGAUGGUACACCCCUGUCUAACUUUCGCGGCUUACGAUAUUCCUGCGCGGAGCAUAGACAUUCUGAA